UUUGGAAUUUUGGACAAUGGGCGAAAGCCUGAUCCAGCGACGCCGCGUGCACGAAGAAGGCCUUCGGGUCGUAAAGUGCUUUUAGCAGGGAAAAAUUUUGAUUGUACCUGCAGAAUAAGAGGUUGCUAACUCUGUGCCAGCAGCAGCGGUAAUACAGAGACCUCAAGCGUUAUCCGGAAUCAUUGGGCGUAAAGCGUACCGAUAGGUGGUUUUAUAAGUUUUGCCUAAAAUACCGAAGCUUAACUUCGGCCUUGGGUAAAAUACUGUAAAAACUAGAGGGGCAAAGAGGUGCUUGGAACGAACGGUGUAGUAGUGAAAUGCGUUGAUAUCGUUCGGAACACCGAAAGCGAAGGCAGAGCACUGGGUGCCACCUGACACUGCUAGGACGAAAGCGUGGGGAGCGAAUGGGAUUAGAUACCCCAGUAGUCCACGCUGUAAACGAUGAAUACUAGGCAUGCGCGAGUAUCGACCCUCGUGCGAGCCGUAGCUAACGCGUU
This 497-nucleotide ribosomal RNA is filed under the name uncultured bacterium. Its description in RNAcentral is "bacterial SSU rRNA". It matches the Rfam family "Bacterial small subunit ribosomal RNA", at positions 355 to 861 of the family's 1533-position model. The record is from RNAcentral.